GCCUGGCUCUCCAAGCCACAGGACUCUAUGAGAAACAUGGCCACCAGCUGCUCGGGAACAAUUUAAAAUGGCACAGCAGCACAAACUACCAAAAUAAAAGGAACAGUUAAACGCUUAAAUGUUAAGAUAUAUACAGCCCUCAAUUAAGUAUGCCAUCUUUAAGAAAUAGGUGGAAGAAGACUAAAAACUGGUAUCAACACAAGAAAGAAGGCAAAUAGAAAGAGGUUGAUGCUUCAGCAGAAACAAGGAGAUAUAAGAACACUAAAGUACACAAUAGACGGCACCACUUCAGAGUGGAGGAAGCCAUUUUUAAAUGCUCCCCACAAUAAAAACUACCUGCAGAGAGAAAACUAGGCUAAGUUAAAUCUUUUUCCCUGAUGUGCUUGUUUUUUAUACAUGGUGGAGCAUUCAGACAUUGUAUUCUGUACCUGUAUGCUGAAAUGGAACAAUCCAUUAUACCACCUCACCUCAU
Molecule: long non-coding RNA, 472 nt
Organism: Hemicordylus capensis (graceful crag lizard)
Lineage: Eukaryota; Metazoa; Chordata; Lepidosauria; Squamata; Cordylidae
Exons: 3
Source: RefSeq, a predicted model, not a curated record